This is a long non-coding RNA of Gambusia affinis (western mosquitofish), 1044 nucleotides long. RefSeq lists it as uncharacterized. The transcript is spliced from 4 exons. Lineage: Eukaryota; Metazoa; Chordata; Actinopteri; Cyprinodontiformes; Poeciliidae. The record is from RefSeq and is a predicted model, not a curated record.
AGCACGAGUAAUUUUUGGUUGAGAAGUUGACACUGCUCCGCCAUGCAGCACGGCUGAAUAACCGAUAUUAAGGUAAAAACUAAGGAGCUUGUCAAGUGUUUAUAUUUCAAAACAGAAGCUCCCGCAGAUGUUCAUUUCGCGUCCCACAACGGAUACUAUCUGAACCGUUUCUCUCUCGCUCUGGUGAGGCUCCGCCAUUUUUAUUCCUGUAUAUGUAGCCGGCUCCCUUUAAGGAUGACCAGCGGUGCCCUCUUCUGGUUGGAGGCCAAACUACAACAAUAAAAGACCGUCUAAACGUCUAAUAAACCAUUAAUCGACAUCUAAUCGCGGUCCCACUGACAAUCACAUGGCGAUGGAGGCUACUAAUGGCAACGCUGAGCUAGCUGUGUGUGGAGGGGUUGAUGGGAGGCGAACAGCAGGACUGCUAAGCGCCAGCCCUACAGUACAGCACAGAGAGAGCUCCGGCAGGGUUCUGGCAGCCGAGAUGUCAGGCGGCUCCGCACUGAGGCCGACACGUUGCCUCCUGAACGAGAGGAGCCAAGUCUGGUCUCGACAACAGCUGCGAGGGGUCGGCGGGCCUCGGCGGAGCAGCGCCGUUGGUUCCAGCCGUGUCACGCCUUAUAACACGACACAUCUGUCAGCGCCUCGCAAUGAAACCCGACUCGCUCACUUACAACCGCAGCGGUGUACCAGGAUUUAAUACGGUACAGUAGAGCACCGACGCUAGAGGUGAAGUCUAGCGAGCUGUUUAUCCUAAUCGAGGAUGAGCCGGGACCUGUUUCUGCAACGCAGCGAGUGUGUAAAAUUGAAUCGGACGGACGUGUGGCCGUGAAAUGAGUGUGGAUUCGUCCGUAGCUGGAGUCUAAUUGGCUGAGUCAUGCUGCUGUCAGACACCUGAUGAAUGUGCACCUUUGACCCAAUGGGAGUUCAUAAAAAUCUUACUUCAUUAAAUCCCAAUUAUCAUUCAUUUCAGCCGUUAUUUAAUAUUUGGAAACUAAAUUAGAAGUUGCAAGAUGACUGCCGUAUCUUUUCCGAAGCAUGUGU